RNAcentral lists this ribosomal RNA (497 nucleotides) under uncultured bacterium. RNAcentral's name for it is "partial 16S ribosomal RNA". It matches the Rfam family "Bacterial small subunit ribosomal RNA", at positions 28 to 507 of the family's 1533-position model. The record is from RNAcentral.
GAUGAACGCUGGCGGCGUGCCUAAUACAUGCAAGUCGAGCGAACGGACGAGAAGCUUGCUUUUCUGAUGUUAGCGGCGGACGGGUGAGUAACACGUGGAUAACCUACCUAUAAGACUGGGAUAACUUCGGGAAACCGGAGCUAAUACCGGAUAAUAUUUUGAACCGCAUGGUUCAAAAGCGAAAGACGGUCUUGCUGUCACUUAUAGAUGGAUCCGCGCUGCAUUAGCUAGUUGGUAAGGUAACGGCUUACCAAGGCAACGAUGCAUAGCCGACCUGAGAGGGUGAUCGGCCACACUGGAACUGAGACACGGUCCAGACUCCUACGGGAGGCAGCAGCAGGGAAUCUUCCGCAAUGGGCGAAAGCCUGACGGAGCAACGCCGCGUGAGUGAUGAAGAUCUUCGGAUCGUAAAACUCUGUUAUUAGGUAAGAACAUAUGUGUAAGUAACUGUGCACAUCUUGACGGUACCUAAUCAGAAAGCCACGGCUAGCUACGUG